This 129-nucleotide small nuclear RNA is filed under the name Trichobilharzia regenti. RNAcentral describes it as "U11 spliceosomal RNA". It matches the Rfam family "U11 spliceosomal RNA". Lineage: Eukaryota; Metazoa; Platyhelminthes; Trematoda; Strigeidida; Schistosomatidae. The record is from Rfam by way of RNAcentral.
AAAAAGGGCCUCCAUCAUAGGUACAUGAUGACCAGUUCAUCACUAAAAUGACUGGGUGGAAUGGCAAUCAAGACAUUUCAGAGGCAUAAUAUUUGAGCACGGGACAGUCGGCUACAAAUAUUGGCUGAC